RNAcentral lists this ribosomal RNA (465 nucleotides) under uncultured bacterium. RNAcentral's name for it is "partial 16S ribosomal RNA". It matches the Rfam family "Bacterial small subunit ribosomal RNA", at positions 28 to 507 of the family's 1533-position model. The record is from RNAcentral.
GACGAACGCUGGCGGCGUGCUUAACACAUGCAAGUCGAACGGAAAGGCCCCUUUGGGGGUACUCGAGUGGCGAACGGGUGAGUAACACGUGAGUAACCUGCCCUUGACUUCGGGAUAACUUCAGGAAACUGGGGCUAAUACCGGAUAGGAAUCCUUGCUGCAUGGUGGGGGUUGGAAAGCUUCGGCGGUUUUGGAUGGACGCGCGGCUUAUCAGCUUGUUGGUGGGGUAGUGGCUUACCAAGGCUUUGACGGGUAGCCGGCCUGAGAGGGCGACCGGCCACAUUGGGACUGAGAUACGGCCCAGACUCCUACGGGAGGCAGCAGGGGGGAAUAUUGCACAAUGGGCGGAAGCCUGAUGCAGCAACGCCGCGUGCGGGAUGACGGCCUUCGGGUUGUAAACCGCUUUCAGCAGGGGCGAAGCUUGUGGUGACGGUACCUGCAGAAGAAGCACCGGCUAACUACGUG